Molecule: ribosomal RNA, 484 nt
Filed under: uncultured bacterium
Lineage: Bacteria
Description: partial 16S ribosomal RNA
Rfam family: Bacterial small subunit ribosomal RNA
Source: RNAcentral
AUUGAACGCUGGCGGCAGGCCUAACACAUGCAAGUCGAGCGGAUGAAGGGAGCUUGCUCCUGGAUUCAGCGGCGGACGGGUGAGUAAUGCCUAGGAAUCUGCCUGGUCGUGGGGGAUAACGUCCUGAAACGGGCGCUAAUACCGCAUACGUCCUGAGGGAGAAAGUGGGGGAUCUUCGGACCUCACGCUAUCAGAUGAGCCUAGGUCGGAUUAGCUAGUUGGUGGGGUAAAGGCCUACCAAGGCGACGAUCCGUAACUGGUCUGAGAGGAUGAUCAGUCACCCUGGAACUGAGACACGGUCCAGACUCCUACGGGAGGCAGCAGUGGGGAAUAUUGGACGAUGGGCGAAAGCCUGAUCCAGCCAUGCCGCGUGUGUGAAGAAGGUCUUCGGAUUGUAGAGCACUUUAAGUUGGGAGGAAGGGCAGUUAGUUAAUACCUUGCUGUUUUGACGUUACCAACAGAAUAAGCACCGGCUAACUUCGUG